RNAcentral lists this ribosomal RNA (258 nucleotides) under uncultured bacterium. RNAcentral describes it as "partial 16S ribosomal RNA". It matches the Rfam family "Bacterial small subunit ribosomal RNA", at positions 15 to 266 of the family's 1533-position model. The record is from RNAcentral.
GAUCAUGGCUCAGGACGAACGCUGGCGGCGUGCCUAACACAUGCAAGUCGAGCGGAGACAGUGAGUAGCUUGCUACGAGCUGUUUUAGCGGCGGACGGGUGAGUAACGCGUGAGCAACCUUUCCCAGACAGGGGAAUAACACACCGAAAGGUGUACUAAUACCGCAUAAGACCACGGGAUCACAUGGUUCUGGGGUAAAAGAAUUAUCGGUUUGGGGUGGGCUCGCGUCCGAUUAGGUAGUUGGUGAGGUAACGGCCC